RNA transcript from Capsicum annuum, 3605 nucleotides. It is a transcript of the gene named pleiotropic drug resistance protein 1-like, with no coding region annotated. NCBI's taxonomy places the organism in Eukaryota, Viridiplantae, Streptophyta, Magnoliopsida, Solanales, Solanaceae. The transcript is spliced from 8 exons. The record is from RefSeq and is a predicted model, not a curated record.
UUCAUAAAAUUAUAUGAAAUACAAGGUUACAAAACUAUCUCUAAAAUUUAUGCCUAUCAAUUGCAUAGAUUUUAAACCCCGCUAUAACUAAAAAAAAAAAAAUACAAAUACUGCGCUAUUAAAAAAGAUUGCCGCUUGUGCCAAAAAUUUUUCCCUCUCUUUAAUUAAAAGAUCUUCCUCAUUUCCCCCAAAUCACUCUCUCACAUUCUCCCUGCCCCCCACAAAAUCUACCGGCCUCUCUCAUUUUCCCCCUAAUUAACUUCGGUCAGUCGGCCAUUGCUAUUCCGACCGGCCAUUGCACAUAUUGGAUUCCGAGGAUGGUGUUGCAAUUGAGCUGGACUCCGAGGCUGGUAUUGCAAUUGACAGAUUAAUGACGAAAGCAAACUGUAUAUCUUUCUUGAGCUUGUUACAAAAUGUUCGCUUGCAAGUGUCUAUCGCAAGUAUCACUUGCGUGAUUCCCAUGUUUCGGAUUAUAACAGGCAAAUCUUGAGUGGGUUGCAUUAGCUUCAUUCCAGAGAAGUGAUGCACAGGUAACAUCAAAGAAGGAUCAACAACAAUAUUGGGCUAACAAUAUUGGGCUAACAAAGAGGACGUGAAGAAAUGGUGGAUCUGGGGUUACUGGAUCUCACCAUUGAUGUAUUCUGUGAAUUCAAUUCUUGUGAAUGAAUUUGAUGGGAAGAAGUGGAAACGUUUUGCGCUAAAUGGAAAUGAGACACUUGGACAUGCAGUAGUAAGAGCUCGCGGAUUCUUUCCAGAUGCAUAUUGGUAUUGAAUAGGUGUUGUGGAACUUAUUAGAUUCAUGAUAAUCUUUAACAUCUGCUACAAUAUUGGACUCGCUUACCUGAAUCCUUUAAGAAGCCAUAAGUUAUGAAAUCAAACGACAAUGAGAAUGCAGAAAAGGAAAGGCUUAUUGAGGGAAGUGAAACUGAGGUUCAAGACAAGAAGAGGGGAAUGGUUCUUCCAUUUGAACCACACUCCAUCAGUUUUGAUAACAUUGUAUACUCUGUUGACAUGCCUCAGGAAAUAAAAGACCAAGGUUCCACUGAAGAUAGAUUGGUACUUCUAAAGGGUGUGAGUGGAGCUUUCUGGCCAGGUGUUCUCACAGCUUUGAUGGGUGUUAGUGGUGCUGGUAAACAACAUUGAUGGAUGUCUUGGUUGGAAGAAAAAUAGAAGGAUAUAUAUAUUGAUGGUGAUAUCAAGAUUUCUGGAUAUCCUAAGAACCAAGAAACCUUUGUAUGUAUCUCUGGAUAUUGUGAACAGAAUGACAUUCAUUCGCCUUAUGUUACUAUUUAUGAGUCCUUGUUGUACUCAGCUUGGCAGCGUUUACCUCAAGACAUUGAAAAAUAAUAAGAGAAAGAUGUUUGUUGAGGAAGUUAUGGAACUUGUAGAGCUAACUCCAUUAAGAUCAGCUGUAGUUGGAUUGCCUGGAUUUGAUGGUCUAUCAACCGAGCAACGCAAAAGGCUGACCAUUGUAGUUGAACUAGUAGCAAACCCCUCUAUCAUUUUCAUGGAUGAACCGACUUCUGGGUUGGAUGCAAGAGCUGCUGCUAUUGUAAUGAGAGCAGUUAGGAACACUGUCGAUACUGGAAGAAUCGUCGUCUGUACCAUUCAACCGCCUAGCAUCGACAUUUUUGAAGCCUUCGAUGCGCCAAGUAUGCGGCUAGUGGGCCAUUUCGCCCUUGGACGCAAGGAGAUCACGUGAUGAUAAUGAUCCUAAUGACAUUAUUUGAUUUCGUUGCAUUUGUCUUGGAUAUUCAAUUAUGACGAUGUAAUUGUGUGGUUGGAGUGAAUUUUAGAAUAUUAAAGUUUUUUUGUGUUUAAAUUUAUUUUGAGUUUGAAGAUACUAGUUAAUGUUGAAAAUUUGGAGUUUGAAGAUGUUAAUGUUGAAAAUUUAAUUUUGAAGUUUAAUGUUCAAUGUAUUUUUGAUAUGCUUGUCAAUUACAAUGUUUAAUUACUCAUGUUGUAUUAAUGAUAUAUGAAUUGAACAAAUAUUGAAUUGUAGGUUAUGUCUAAAAGAACAAUUAAAUUUGAGCUAAAAUCAGAAAAAAAAGGUCGCAAAUUGUUUGUGACGGCUCGUAUUGUAGGGGUUUUGGGAACCGUCGGAAUUACAUUUUGCAAGGGUUUAAAACCCCCGCAAACCGUAAAAUUAACCCCUGUAAUUUGACUUUUUUUUUUUGUAGUGAAAUAAAAAGAGAGAGUGAGGAUGUUUUUGUACAACUAAUGUGUUUUCUGUUUUUUUAGGUAGCUCCUUUGCCAUAAUGGACACCAUUUUGGCGCACCUUGAUGCUAUUGCCCGAGAGAUGGCUAAGGGUAAUGCGGGUCUUGAAAAAUUAGGCUCGGAUAUGUCUACUAUACUUGAGAGGUUUGAUCGAGUGGAGAGUCGAAGGAAUUUUCGUGUUUUUACUUCCAAAACUUUACCUCAAACAAUCAAUCCACCAAGACCACAAUCAAAUGACAUAGACAUAAGGCAAGCCAUCAUUGCCCUCCAACUCGAGACCUAAGUAGGUCACUUCUCCCUCAAUUCGAUCAAGUCCAACAAGAGGGACUUGGAAACCAAUCUCCUCCCAUCUAAGCUCCACAAUCGAAGCUCCAUAUUACCAAAUCAAUCCUUUCACCCAAAACUCCACUUCAUCAAAAUCGAUAUGUCCAUAUAGAGGAGUGUGGUAGAAAGAAACAUGGGGGACAUGGAGUCUACAAUGAUGCAUCUAUGAUGGAAGAGAAGUUGAGGGGAAGGCGUAGGGAACCACAAGGAACCCACCACCAAGAAAAAAGGUGGGAUGUGUUUAGCGUUUUCUUUGUCUUUCACUAUGUGUUUCAGGUGAGGAUGCAGACAAGGCUCCAGAUGGAGAGGAAACUGAGGUUCAAAAUAAAGAAGUUGAUCAAGACUUAUGUUAAUGAGCUCUCGGGUUCCUUAUGUUCUUUGCGGACUAUUUUUUGUGCCUUCUCAAGUUUUUUGCGGGCUGUUUUGAGUGGUUUCUAUUGAAGUGACCAAGUGAAUGAGGUGAAUCCGUGAAUUUGUGGAUAAAUUUCUCUCAAGAUGGAGAGGAUGAUACGAGAAUAAUCACAGAUAUGGACUUAUGAGAGUGCGUAUUUAGCCUGAGACUUGGUGUGUGUAAUUGAUGUGUAAAAGAUGGCCAAAACACACCAAAAUCAGUCCACUUCUCACACUUGAUGGGCACCUCACCUUUGAAGGGUAUUUUGGUCAUUUUACUUUCUAUUUGUAAUGUACUAUAUAAGGAACAUUGUAGGGUUUCUUUUGUAGUUUUGGAUGAAUAUUGAAAGUUGUAGACACUUAGACAUUUUUCUCUUGUGAGAAAGGCCCCUAUGGCCGAACAUUGUAACUAGGGAUUUCAAUUUGAGUGUGGAAUCGCUCGUGUUGGAUUCAAGCUUGGAAACAUUGGAUGCUUGGGAGAUCGAGGUCCUUCUUAUGCCACGUAAGAGAUAGGUGAAUUAUAGUGUGUAGUGUUAAGGGUUCAAGAGUGGACUAUGCUCUUGGGUUCUUAUGAUUAUGCCUUCAUGUAGUCUAUCUUAAUAUCCCUUUGUUUAGUGUAAUCUUUUAUUGUUGUUUCUUAUGUUGUUAAAACAGUUGGUUAUUUUUAUUUUUA